Non-coding RNA from Aegilops tauschii subsp. strangulata, 2598 nucleotides. The record is from RefSeq and is a predicted model, not a curated record. Lineage: Eukaryota; Viridiplantae; Streptophyta; Magnoliopsida; Poales; Poaceae.
GAUUCGUCUUGUUUUGGUGCCAAGAACCAGUCUUAUCCCCAUUGCAGCAGGACAUCCAGUCUUGGUUGUUUCGGUGCAAAGAACCUUUGUUUUCUUGCGCUAAAUUCAGGCUGUUAUCGACCUUGCUGAAGUGAUAUCCCGUCUGUUAUGAUGUCUGAGGCAGGUUCACCUACUACGCUAAGUUCAGUCUUGGAAUAGUUACCUUGUGCUGCAAUUUUUUGCUGUGUUAUAAAGUGACUCUUACUGCUGGUAACUUAGUAUAGCUUUGGAUUUAUGUAACUGCAUCAAAUGUUCAGUGUUCACCAAUCCUCCAGAUAUCAGAUGCUGGAUUCUCACUCUGCUAUGAAUCUUGAGAUUCUACUGAAACUCUGCUUAUAAAGUGAUUCUUGCUUCCAAUUAUUAUUUGGGCAUCCCACUGAAACUCUGCUUAGCUAGUGGCUGGUUCUCUAUAAUGAUUGACAAUUGCAAUGGAGUGAAAGAAAUAAUGUCUUUUGACUUCACUUUUCUUUUCAGAAAUUAGCUAGUCAAGCAACCAAAUGUGGUAUCUUGUUCUAAUUCCUGAGAUAUUAUCUAAAAGCAGGUUCUAAUUCCUGAGAUAGUAUCUCUCUCUCUCUCUCUCUCUCUCUCUCUCUCUUCCAGUGCCCUCUCCUCUUCUCUCUUAAUUAAACAAAAAUGAUCACACAAAUGAUGUACUCCACACAAAAUUAAAUGAAACUUUUCAAACAAAAAUGAUCAUAUAUAUGGAGUAAAAUCCUGUCCAUAGAAGCCUUUUGCAAACAUAUGGAGUAAUUUCACAUGGGUUUCCGAAAAUGACCAUACAAAUGAUUCACUCCACACAAGUCUCUUCUCAAGGAGUUACAUAUACUCCACACAAGCCACAUCUCUAGGGUUACGCAUACUCCACACAAACAAGGAGUUACACAUACUCCACACAAAUAAUCACAAGCAUCUUUACAAGCAACUAGACAAGCAUCUCAACAAGCAACUCCUCAAGCAUCUCAACAAGCAUCUCGACAGGCAUCUCAACAAGCAACUCCUCAAGCAUCUCAACUAGCAUCUCGACAAGCAACUCAACAAGCAACUCCUCAAGCAUCUGAACAAGCAACUCCUCAAGCAACUCCUCAAGCAUCUCAACAAGCAACUCUCCUCAAGCAUCUCGACAAGCAUCUCGACAAGCAACUCAACAAGCAACUCCUCAAGCAUCUCAACAAGCAACUCCUCAAGCAUCUCAACAAGCAUCUCGACAAGCAUCUCAACGAGCAACUCCUCAAGCAUCUCGACAAGCAUCUCAACAAGCAACUCUCUCCAUUAUCCCAAGAUUGUGCAGGGCAUUUGCAUAUACCUCUGGAGGGCAUGUAAGUCUUGGAGGUGGGGUGUAGUUGAGGUCUGGGAGAUCCAUGUUAUCCAAGCAACUGAAAAGAACAUUUAAGGAUCUCUCCUGGCCAUGGAUCCAAGUACUGAAAUAGGGGUCUUCUCUCCUCUUAAGUAGAGUAAGUACUCCAUUACUCUACUCCUAGAUAAACAUAUCAACAUGAUGCAAAUUGUUGGAGUAAAAAGCAACAUGGUACUGCAAUUUCAGUACAUUUAAUUAUUUCAAUCAUAUUCAGUGUACUCCAAGUCAGUGGUACAACAUAUCUACAGUUGAUCAUUUCAGUAGAAACUUGCUAAACUGAAACAUUUCUGGAGUAGCUGCUAAUUUUUGCUGCUGUCAAUCAAGAUAAACUUGAAACUUGCUAUCCUAUUCUGAAGGAGGUGAUUUCAUACUAGAUGUCAGACAUUCUUGCAGUAGCUCUAGGAGGAGCUGCAGGAGGUUUGGCAUUAGUUGGUGCCAUCACACUCAUUGUAGUGAUAUGCCUACCGCACCGCGGAAGGAAUUCAGAUUCUUCAGAGAGUAAUUCGUCCGGUCAAGCUCUUCCAGACAUGCAAGGAGCAACAUGUAUGACACUGGAGGAACUAAGGUCUGCUACAAAUAACUUCAGCAGCUCGAAUCUCGUCGGACAUGGAAUGUUCGGAGAGGUAUACAACGGUUUGCUCCAUGGAUAGGAUAGGUACUGCAGACAGACAGUGGGCCACUGUAUAUUGCCCUAACAUAGCAUGGCUGAAAUAGAAUCAGUUUUUUCUCUUCUAUUUUUCAGAUGAGAGACAGCUUUACAGAAACGAAAAUCACACUCCAAAAAGGGUUUUCGUCGCAAAAUUAGGCAGAAAAGGUAGGCAUCCAUGAGUUGCUCAAACAAAUCCAAAAAUAAACCCUUUUUUCCAGCACAAUUAUAGCGGUUUGCUCCAUGUCCGCACAAUUAUAGCGGUUAAAAGGCGGCAUUCUCCUCCUAGCCAGGAAUUUCUUCAUGAGGUGCCAAAAUUUUCUCCUAGAGUAGUGGCAUGUUGUAAGAAAUCAAAACCUUGCUUCCUGAGAUCAAAACCAAUACAUGAACUCAUGGUUAUUGGUGGCCUUUUCUCCCCAGGCUAAUUACAUGUCGUCUAUCCGUCGUCGUCCCAAUAAUUUGAACAAAUUCUGAUGGAGUAUUCACUCGAAUCAUUGGCAGCAAUUAUCUCUUGAAUUACUCUUUGUCUUGAAUUAUUGGCAACAAAUAUUUCUUUGAA